RNAcentral lists this ribosomal RNA (813 nucleotides) under uncultured bacterium. RNAcentral describes it as "bacterial SSU rRNA". It matches the Rfam family "Bacterial small subunit ribosomal RNA", at positions 545 to 1352 of the family's 1533-position model. The record is from RNAcentral.
CCGGAAUUUCUGGGUGUAAAGGGGGGGUAAGCGGGUUAUGAAGUUGGAAGUGGAAUAUCGCAAGUUAACUGCGGGGCUGCCUUCUGAUCCUGUAAUCUUGAGUGUCGGAUAGGAAAGUGGAAUUCCUAGUGUAGCGGUGAAAUGCGUAGAUAUUAGGAGGAACACCAGUGGCGAAGGCGACUUUCUGGACGAUAACUGACGCUGAAGCGCGAAAGCGUGGGGAGCAAACAGGAUUAAAUACCCUGGUAGUCCACGCUGGAAACGAUGGAUACUAGGUGUGGGAGGUAUCGACCCCUUCCGUGCCGGAAUUAACACAAUAAGUAUCCCACCUGGGGAGUACGGCCGCGAGGUUGAAACUCAGAGGAAUUGACGGGGGCCCCCACAAGCAGUGCAUUAUGUGGUUUAAUUCGAAGCAACGCGAACAACCUUACCAGGGCUUGACAUCCCGUGCAUAGUAUAGAGAUAUACGAAGUCCUUCGGGACACGGAGACAGGUGGUGCAUGGUUGUCGUCAGCUCGUGUCGUGAGAUGUUGGGUUAAGUCCCGCAACGAGCGCAACCGUUAUUGCCUGUUGCCAUCAUUAAGUUGGGCACUCAAGCGAGACUGCCCGCUGACAGAUCGGAGGAAGGUGGGGGAUGACGUCAAAUCAUCAUGCCCCUUAUGUCGUGGGGCUACACACGUACUACAAUUGGCUGUUACACAGAGGGAAGCAACACCGCGAGGUGGAGCAAACUCCCCAAAAACAGUCUCAGUUCGGAUUGCAGGCUGACACUCACCUGCAUGAAGUUCAGAAUCGCUAGUAAUCGCAGAUCAC